This 468-nucleotide ribosomal RNA is filed under the name uncultured bacterium. RNAcentral's name for it is "partial 16S ribosomal RNA". It matches the Rfam family "Bacterial small subunit ribosomal RNA", at positions 28 to 507 of the family's 1533-position model. The record is from RNAcentral.
GACGAACGCUGGCGGCGUGCUUAACACAUGCAAGUCGAACGGAAAGGCCCUGCUUUUGUGGGGUGCUCGAGUGGCGAACGGGUGAGUAACACGUGAGUAACCUGCCCUUGACUUUGGGAUAACUUCAGGAAACUGGGGCUAAUACCGGAUAGGAGCUCCUGGUGCAUGGUGGGGGUUGGAAGGUUUCGGCGGUUGGGGAUGGACUCGCGGCUUAUCAGCUUGUUGGUGGGGUAGUGUCUUACCAAGGCUUUGACGGGUAGCCGGCCUGAGAGGGUGACCGGCCACAUUGGGACUGAGAUACGGCCCAGACUCCUACGGGAGGCAGCAGUGGGGAAUAUUGCACAAUGGGCGGAAGCCUGAUGCAGCAACGCCGCGUGCGGGAUGACGGCCUUCGGGUUGUAAACCGCUUUCGCCUGUGACGAAGCGUGAGUGACGGUAAUGGGUAAAGAAGCACCGGCUAACUACGUG